RNAcentral lists this ribosomal RNA (383 nucleotides) under uncultured bacterium. RNAcentral's name for it is "bacterial SSU rRNA". It matches the Rfam family "Bacterial small subunit ribosomal RNA", at positions 34 to 412 of the family's 1533-position model. The record is from RNAcentral.
GAGUUCGCUAGUGAUUCAGGCGUAACGCAUGCAAGUCGAACGGCAGCACGGGAGCAAUCCUGGUGGCGAGUGGCGAACGGGUGAGUAAUACAUCGGAACGUGCCCAGUAGUGGGGGAUAGCCCGGCGAAAGCCGGAUUAAUACCGCAUAUGCCCUGAGGGGGAAAGCGGGGGACCGAAAGGCCUCGCGCUAUUGGAGCGGCCGAUGGCUGAUUAGCUAGUUGGUGGGGUAAAGGCUCACCAAGGCGACGAUCAGUAGCUGGUCUGAGAGGACGACCAGCCACACUGGGACUGAGACACGGCCCAGACUCCUACGGGAGGCAGCAGUGGGGAAUUUUGGACAAUGGGCGCAAGCCUGAUCCAUCAAAGGCGCGUGUGCGAAGAA